Dromaius novaehollandiae (emu) is the source of this 1120-nucleotide long non-coding RNA. RefSeq lists it as uncharacterized. NCBI's taxonomy places the organism in Eukaryota, Metazoa, Chordata, Aves, Casuariiformes, Dromaiidae. The transcript has 3 exons. The record is from RefSeq and is a predicted model, not a curated record.
UUACUCAUAUGCAUAUUAUAUACUCACCUCGUAGAUGUCUUCAUACUUGACAUUUUCAACCAGUUUCCAGAGCAUGAUGGCAGGCUGUUCUCUAGGAGGCAAACCUUCGUUUGCAUUGUCCGUUUUUAACACGUUGUACCGCAAAGAGGCGACCUAUUCUGAAGGCGAGCAGAGCCCAUCUCUGCCUCUGGAAGGAAACAACUGAGCUUUGCAGUGGGCUGGUGCGCUAGGAGGGAGGGAAAAAAAAAAAGGAAACAAGCGAGACAGAGACAGAGAGACAGAGAGAAAGAAGGUGUUUCUAAAUUCAGGGUCCUAUCUCUGGAAAUUUCAAGCUCUGUCUAUAAGGUUCCUACAAAUCUUUGUUAUUCUGCAUGGGAUCCUAUGGGAAAGUGCAUAGUGUCCUUUGUACUUUCAAAGGUCCUACAGCAGAGCCUGUCUUUGCAGUCACCGCUGCACGGAGGAGGAGGAGAAAAGAGCACAUCUCCGAGUGGGUUGGGCAGACCUUUUCAGCCGAGGCAAUAGUGUAAAAAAUGCUGAAAAGGAAAACGGAUGUGUGCCGUUUGCAUGUGGAUGUGCGGAGACAGCCGUGCAGACGCACCGCACACGCUCCCGUGCGCCUGCAGAGCUGAGCGGCCCCCUUAGAAAAAUGCCAGGCUCGCAAAGGGCCACUUUGCCAUCACUUCUGUUAAAGUCUUUGAGUCAUGUUCUGCGAGGCUGGCACAGGGCAGAGGGAAUGUGCUUCCUGACAGCUAAUGCUUUACCAUUUCGUGGCACCCUGAAUUAAAUGUGCUCUGCGCGUUGGGGGAGGGGGUAAGAGGGGAUGAGAGAGAAAAAGAAGCUAAAACAGAUCUGACGACCACCGCUUCCCUGCUCACAAAAUGGUACAGGCUGCAAAUCCUUAUUUUCAAGUCCCAUAAUUGUUAGAUUCAGUCGCACUUGCAAAACAUGAGAUACGUGUCUCAAAUGAGCUUUUUAAAAAUUAAAUUGAACAAAGGUUCUUCUCUUUUUUAUUUUUUUCCCUCUGCAGCUUAAAUAUUUAAGUCUGUCUACUUCAGCAAUUACAAACGGGAGUUGUUGCAUCCGUUUAUCUGAAAUACUCAAUAAAUUCUUGAGUUCAAAA